UCUCUCUCUCUCUCUCUCUCUCUCUCUCUCUCUCUCGCUCUCUCUCGCCCAACCCCGCACCACUUGAUUUUCUCUAGGCAGCACGGAACAGACGGCGGUGGCGCCACCGUUUCAGCUUUCAGUUACCGGCAACGAGGGUGGAGACAGCCAGUCACCGCCAUAAACGAGUAAUCGAGCACGUUCUUGACACCAUAGACGGUCGAUGAGGGCAGUGGAGAGAGGGGUGAAGGUGUUGGCGUUGAUGAAGGUGCCCGAGAUCGAGCAGAACAUUGUCGUUUUCCCAAUCAGUUACCCAUCAUAGAAAAAAUACAAUAGAAGAAAUUGAAGAAAAAAUCAGUGAGAUGAAAAGAAGCAGACAGAAAUUCAACAAAUGAAGAAAUUUCUGAGAUGCAUAAGGUAAUCGAUGACGUGGGCAGUGGUCGAUUUUCCUUCUCUAGCUGUUGUGAUUGCUGCUGAUGUUGAUUCGACUUCGAGUUAGGGUUUUGAUUAUUUUGAGUAGAAUUAGGGUUAGGGGUAGGCUUCAGAUUUGGGGUUUGUUGAUGAUGUUUUUGUUCGGGGUUGAGGGAGCAAUGCGGAAGGUCAAGAGGCUGGAGGUGGGCGUCGAUGUUGGAAGGGAAACAAGAGAUGGUUGUUGUUUCUGUUGUUGUUGUUGGAAUUGUUGAAGGAGGAGUUGCUACUUGUUGUGCUAUUGAUGCUGCUGUUGAUGUUGCUGCUGCUGUUGAUGCUACUGCUACUAUUGUAGCAUCACCUGGCUAGAUUGAGUUUUAGGGUUGGAGAAAGAAAUGGCUCUUUGGCCUUGCAGAUUUGUGUUUUUGCAGAGGGCAAAUUCGUAACUUUAUGCAUCUCCGUUACGGAAGUCAGAUGGAUAAGGAUUUUUAUUAGUUAGAGGGGGU
This is a long non-coding RNA of Rhododendron vialii, 893 nucleotides long. RefSeq lists it as uncharacterized. The record is from RefSeq and is a predicted model, not a curated record. Lineage: Eukaryota; Viridiplantae; Streptophyta; Magnoliopsida; Ericales; Ericaceae. The transcript is spliced from 2 exons.